CAUAUAAUCAGAGUUGUUCUCAGCGUGGUACUUGUGGCCUGACUUCAAACCUGAAGCAAGGGUGCCUGCGAUGAUGCCUAGUUUGACCUUGAUCGAGGGCUUAAUUUUUGUAAUCAUGGUGACGCGUACAGCUACAGGUACUCGGCCUGGUAAUCGCAAUAUAUCAAGAUGUAACGCGCUCGUUUCCCUGUGCAAAUAUCCCUAUGUGUGCCUCUGCUUCUGGAGUCUGAAACUCGGUCCUUGGAGGAAUGACUGGUUUCACUUGAAUCCACUCACGCACCAAUGCGACCCCGGAGCAGAGCAAUUCAACUGCAAUGGUUUCCCAACAUUGAGCGAGUGCAACAAAAGGUGUGCAUUUACCAAGACUUCGUCAAAGCAAGUAGAGCGGAAUUAAAAAAGGUUUGCUUCUUUUCAAGAA
This is a long non-coding RNA of Dermacentor andersoni, 418 nucleotides long. RefSeq lists it as uncharacterized. Lineage: Eukaryota; Metazoa; Arthropoda; Arachnida; Ixodida; Ixodidae. The record is from RefSeq and is a predicted model, not a curated record.